CAGUCGCCGCGGUAAAACGGAGGGUGCAAGCGUUAAUCGGAAUUACUGGGCGUAAAGCGCACGCAGGCGGUCUGACAAGUCAGAUGUGAAAUCCCCGGGCUUAACCUGGGAACUGCAUUUGAAACUGUCAGGCUGGAGUCUUGUAGAGGGGGGUAGAAUUCCAGGUGUAGCGGUGAAAUGCGUAGAGAUCUGGAGGAAUACCGGUGGCGAAGGCGGCCCCCUGGACAAAGACUGACGCUCAGGUGCGAAAGCGUGGGGAGCAAACAGGAUUAGAGACCCGCGUAGUCCCUGUCUCUUAUAC
RNAcentral lists this ribosomal RNA (301 nucleotides) under uncultured bacterium. RNAcentral describes it as "partial 16S ribosomal RNA". It matches the Rfam family "Bacterial small subunit ribosomal RNA", at positions 509 to 807 of the family's 1533-position model. The record is from RNAcentral.